This 450-nucleotide ribosomal RNA is filed under the name uncultured bacterium. Its description in RNAcentral is "partial 16S ribosomal RNA". It matches the Rfam family "Bacterial small subunit ribosomal RNA", at positions 354 to 796 of the family's 1533-position model. The record is from RNAcentral.
GUGGGGAAUAUUGCGCAAUGGGCGAAAGCCUGACGCAGCGACGCCGCGUGAGGGAUGAAGGUUUUCGGAUCGUAAACCUCUGUCAGAAGGGAAGAAACUACGUUGUGCUAAUCAGCAGCGUACUGACGGUACCUUCAAAGGAAGCACCGGCUAACUCCGUGCCAGCAGCCGCGGUAAUACGGAGGGCGCAAGCGUUAAUCGGAAUUACUGGGCGUAAAGCGCACGUAGGCUGUAGUGUAAGUCAGGGGUGAAAUCCAACGGCUCAACCGUGGAACUGCCUUUGAUACUGCACAACUUGAAUCCGGGAGAGGGUGGCGGAAUUCCAGGUGUAGGAGUGAAAUCCGUAGAUAUCUGGAGGAACAACAGUGGCGAAGGCGGCCACCUGGACCGGUAUUGACGCUGAGGUGCGAAAGCGUGGGGAGCAAACAGGAUUAGAUACCCCAGUAGUCC